UUGAAUCUUGCCCUCUAGCCAAGCAAGAAUGCGCGCGUUUGCAAUAAUGCGCGCUCUGGAAAUGUAGUCAGCGCCAUGGCUUCCUGUGGUUCCUCUGCACAAAAUCUGCCUUGACAGUACACUAGACUACACGAAGGCAAAGACUUGAAAAACUCGUAACGUUUAAAAAUUCGGAACGAUCUGCCAUGGCGGACACAUUUGGCAGUAAACAGACUGACGUAGCGGUCCGUGACGACGUCAAGGAUUACUAUGGUAAAAUACUGAAAAAAACCGCUGACCUAAAGAGCAAAGCGUGUGUCCCGGGGGCAAAGCCCACGCGUGGCUACAUCCGAAAAGCUCUCGAUGAAUUGCACCCGGAAGUCAUUGCGAGGUACUACGGCUGUGGCCUGCUGGUUCCCGAGUGUGUGGCGGGCUGCAGGGUGCUGGAUCUGGGUUGCGGCAGCGGCAGCGACUGCUAUGUGCUCAGCCGCCUGGUAGGGCAGAGCGGACACGUCACUGGAAUUGACAUGACAGAGGAGCAGCUGGAGGUCGCACGGAAGUACAUGGACUAUCACACACAAAGGUUUGGGUAUAAAAAGCCUAAUGUGGACUUUGUUCAAGGGUACAUAGAGACUUUGAGAGAAGCAGGAGUGGAAGAGGCAUCCUAUGACAUAAUAAUAUCAAACUGUGUGGUGAACCUUUCCCCAGACAAGGCUAGUGUUCUGAGAGAGGCCUACCGAGUGCUAAAGAAUGGAGGAGAGCUGUAUUUCAGUGAUGUUUAUAGCAAUGCCAGAAUCUCAGAAUCCCUCAGGGCUGAUAAAGUGUUGUGGGGUGAGUGCUUGAGUGGAGCAUUGUGGUGGGAGGACCUCAUGCGAUUGGCUGAGGAGAUUGGGUUUACUGUACCCCGAUUGGUCUCUGCCAACAUCAUUUCAAUAGGCAACGAGCAACUAGAGAAGAUUCUAGGUGACUACAAGUUUGCCUCUGCCACAUAUCGUCUCUUCAAAUUGUCAAAGAAUUCUGAGAAGAAAGGCUGUCUUGUCAUGUAUGAUGGAAACAUUAUGGGCUCAGAAGAGAAAUUUGAGUUUGAUGCUAAGUAUACUUUUAAGGUGAAUGAGGUGGUGGAGGUGGAUGGGGAUACAGCGGAAAUCUUAAAGAGCUCCAGGUUUGCAGAAGAAUUCACAUUCCAGCCUCAGCCGGGCUGUAGGGCAGCAUCUGGAACAUGCAGGGCUGAACCUGAGGUCAUGCUGGAUCCAUUUAAACAGGCACAGCAGUUUGGAGGUGUCACUGUGGCUUCAUCCACCGGGGGGUGCUGUGGUCCCCAGGAGUCAUGCUGCGAGUAAAGAUAGAAUAAAAAAAUGCCACAGGAUAGUAUUAUUAGUAUCUGUAUUAUCGCUCGGCAUGAAAUAUGCAACCACUUAAAUGUGUUAUAUGAUUUGGUAAUAUAACACACACAUAAUAUUGGUAUAAUACUAAUAAUUCUCCAUGUCAAUUAUUAGAAUGGUUAUACGAGAAAAGCAAUUGUUCGUGUAUGGCUGUCUGCAUUUUUCACACUAAAAUUGUAAUAGCUUUCAUAGCACAUAGUCUAAUUCAUCCAUAUCGGAUGGGGAAUUAUUGCCAGAUGUUGUAAUGUAAUAUAUAUGUAAUAUACAUCUCUUUCGCUUUCUUACAGUAUUUUUAUAACCAAGUGGUUAUUAUAGUGGUUAUAAGUGGGGUUUUUUUGUUUGUUUGUUUGUUUGUUUUUUUACAGAGGAGACAAAGCAGAUGAAUUAGCAAACAGAAUAAACAGGUGAGCAGGGGCGCAAGCUGCCCUUCACUGCAGACCUGAGGCGUCAACUACACAGGCUAUCCUGUUGGUAGCUGUUGGGGUACAGGCUGAACCUGGAGUGAAUUUUGUGUAUACAUCUGCUAUUCUGUACUGUAGGUUUAGGCCAAAGAAUGUGGUGUUUGGUGGGAUUAUUAUAGAACUGUAUUGUUAUUCAUGCUCAUAUUCGGUGGGUAUGUAUUCAUUUUACGGUGUUUUGCACGGCUGCUGUCCAACAGAGCCUGACGAAGACCAAUCAUAAAGACCAGUCAUUAUUCAGUAAAAAAUGGGGGGCGCUCAGCUGUGCAGCUGUCCUGUGUUUGUCAAAGAACUCCUCAAAGACCAUCUGUUGUUACUCUGUGUGAUAAAGCAUUCUUUAAUUCUACAUAAAAGCAAAAUGUCGAUGGGUGAUCACAUACAUUUGGUGUCAUUAAUUGCAGCAAAGGUCUUUGUAACUGUUGAACAUCAAGGGACAGAAGAGUUGCACUCUAUUCAGUGCUGAUGUCAAGUGUAAAUGCAUCACAGGUUCCUAAUAUCACCCCAGUUUAUGCUUUAAAGGGAGUUCACAGAAAGGUUGCUAAUAAUUAAUGGAAAUUUUUCUCGUAACAACGUAACAAAUGGGGGGAAUUAAACUGUUAAAAUGGAA
RNA transcript from Electrophorus electricus (electric eel), 2426 nucleotides. It is a transcript of the gene named arsenite methyltransferase, with no coding region annotated. Lineage: Eukaryota; Metazoa; Chordata; Actinopteri; Gymnotiformes; Gymnotidae. The record is from RefSeq and is a predicted model, not a curated record.